RNAcentral lists this ribosomal RNA (254 nucleotides) under uncultured bacterium. Its description in RNAcentral is "partial 16S ribosomal RNA". It matches the Rfam family "Bacterial small subunit ribosomal RNA", at positions 99 to 351 of the family's 1533-position model. The record is from RNAcentral.
CGGACGGGUGAGUAAUGUCUGGGAAACUGCCUGAUGGAGGGGGAUAACUACUGGAAACGGUAGCUAAUACCGCAUAACGUCGCAAGACCAAAGAGGGGGACCUUCGGGCCUCUUGCCAUCGGAUGUGCCCAGAUGGGAUUAGCUAGUAGGUGGGGUAACGGCUCACCUAGGCGACGAUCCCUAGCUGGUCUGAGAGGAUGACCAGCCACACUGGAACUGAGACACGGUCCAGACUCCUACGGGAGGCAGGCAUG